CGCACAUUGCGCCUUCCGGUAUUCCGGGAGGCAUGCCUGUCUGAGCGUCAGUGAAUCCUCAUACCUUGAUGUGUAUUCGUACAUGUCUCGGCGUGGUUGUGAGCCGUGAGAUUCGUCUCUGGCUUGAAAUGUAUUGGCGGUGUCGCCUGGUACUUUAAUGUGAUAGGUAUUUCCAACUCAUUGAACCCAAGCAUCGCACUGCCCUUUCUAUAAACACUGUACUCUUGACCUCAGAUCAGGUAGGGAUACCCGCUGAACUUAA
This 262-nucleotide unclassified non-coding RNA is filed under the name Saccharomycetales sp. RNAcentral's name for it is "partial contains 5.8S ribosomal RNA, internal transcribed spacer 2, and large subunit ribosomal RNA". The record is from RNAcentral. Lineage: Eukaryota; Fungi; Ascomycota; Saccharomycetes; Saccharomycetales.